Molecule: ribosomal RNA, 777 nt
Filed under: uncultured bacterium
Lineage: Bacteria
Description: bacterial SSU rRNA
Rfam family: Bacterial small subunit ribosomal RNA
Source: RNAcentral
AGAGUUUGAUCCUGGCUCAGGACGAACGCUGGCGGCGUGCUUAACACAUGCAAGUCGAACGAGGCCCUCGCUUCGGUGGGGUGUUCUAGUGGCGAACGGGUGAGUAACACGUGGGCAACCUGCCCCCGGCUCUGGGAUAACUCCAAGAAAUUGGGGCUAAUACCGGAUAUGACCGCUGACCGCAUGGUCUGGUGGUGGAAAGUUUUUCGGCUGGGGAUGGGCCCGCGGCCUAUCAGCUUGUUGGUGGGGUAGUGGCCUACCAAGGCGACGACGGGUAGCCGGCCUGAGAGGGUGACCGGCCACACUGGGACUGAGACACGGCCCAGACUCCUACGGGAGGCAGCAGUGGGGAAUAUUGCGCAAUGGGCGGAAGCCUGACGCAGCGACGCCGCGUGGGGGAUGACGGCCUUCGGGUUGUAAACCUCUUUCAGCAGGGACGAAGCCGCGAGGUGACGGUACCUGCAGAAGAAGCACCGGCCAACUACGUGCCAGCAGCCGCGGUAAUACGUAGGGUGCAAGCGUUGUCCGGAAUUAUUGGGCGUAAAGAGCUCGUAGGCGGUUCGUCGCGUCGGCUGUGAAAACCUGAGGCUCAACCUCAGGCCUGCAGUCGAUACGGGCGGACUAGAGUUCGGCAGGGGAGACUGGAAUUCCUGGUGUAGCGGUGAAAUGCGCAGAUAUCAGGAGGAACACCGGUGGCGAAGGCGGGUCUCUGGGCCGAUACUGACGCUGAGGAGCGAAAGCGUGGGGAGCGAACAGGAUUAGAUACCCUAGUAGUCC